GACAGAGGCCCCAAGCGUUAGGCGGAAUCACUGGGCUUAAAGCGUGUGUAGGCGGAUCGUUAAGUGUCUUGUGAAAUCCCACGGCUCACCCGUGGAACUGCUGGGCAUACUGGCGAUCUUGGGCCAACUAGGGGCAGUCGGAACAAGCGGUGGAGCGGUGAAAUGCGUAGAUAUCGCGUGGAACGCCGAAGGUGAAAACAGACUGCUGGGGUUGCGCCGACGCUGAGACACGAAAGCCAGGGGAGCAAACGGG
This 253-nucleotide ribosomal RNA is filed under the name uncultured bacterium. RNAcentral describes it as "partial 16S ribosomal RNA". It matches the Rfam family "Bacterial small subunit ribosomal RNA", at positions 524 to 776 of the family's 1533-position model. The record is from RNAcentral.